Molecule: ribosomal RNA, 253 nt
Filed under: uncultured bacterium
Lineage: Bacteria
Description: partial 16S ribosomal RNA
Rfam family: Bacterial small subunit ribosomal RNA
Source: RNAcentral
UACGAAGGGGGCUAGCGUUGCUCGGAAUUACUGGGCGUAAAGGGCGCGUAGGCGGAUAGUUUAGUCAGAGGUAAAAGCCCAGGGCUCAACCUUGGAACUGCCUUUGAUACUGGCUAUCUUGAGUUCGGGAGAGGUGAGUGGAAUGCCGAGUGUAGAGGUGAAAUUCGUAGAUAUUCGGCGGAACACCAGUGGCGAAGGCGGCUCACUGGCCCGGUACUGACGCUGAGGUGCGAAAGCGUGGGGAGCAAACAGG